This 514-nucleotide ribosomal RNA is filed under the name uncultured soil bacterium. RNAcentral's name for it is "bacterial SSU rRNA". It matches the Rfam family "Bacterial small subunit ribosomal RNA", at positions 26 to 518 of the family's 1533-position model. The record is from RNAcentral.
AGGACGAACGCUGGCGGCGUGCUUAACACAUGCAAGUGGAGCGACGAACCGGGGCUUGCCCCGGGGCAGAGCCGCGAACGGGUGAGUAACACGUGGGUAACCCACCUCGAUGACCGGGACAACCCGAGGAAACUCGGGCUAAUACCGGAUGUGAUCCUCUUUCGUAAGGAAGAUGAUGAAAGAUAGCUUCGGCCUUCGCAUCGAGACGGGCCCGCGGCCCAUUAGCUUGUUGGUGGGGUAACGGCCUACCAAGGCUUCGAUGGGUAGCUGGUCUGAGAGGACGAUCAGCCACACUGGGACUGAGACACGGCCCAGACUCCUACGGGAGGCGGCAGUGGGGGAAUCUUGCGCAAUGCGCGAAAAGCGUGACGCAGCAAACGCCGCGUGGGGAAGACGGCCUCGGUUGGUAACCCGUUACCUACGUGGUACGAAGACUCGACGUUAAGUAAGACGCGUGGAGUGACGGUACGUUCUACGAAGAAGACCCGGCCGUAACUAAGUAGCACGCAGCCGC